GUACCAAAUAAUUAAUGCUCUGUAAUCAUUUAAAAGUAUUUUGAACGGACCUCUGUUUGACACGUCUGAAUAACUAAAAAAACAAAAAUUUGCCACCUAAGUGGCUUUUUUU
RNAcentral lists this non-coding RNA (112 nucleotides) under Francisella tularensis subsp. mediasiatica FSC147. Its description in RNAcentral is "Francisella sRNA A". It matches the Rfam family "Francisella sRNA A". Rfam says of the family: Deletion led to significant changes in the expression of several mRNAs. The record is from Rfam by way of RNAcentral. Lineage: Bacteria; Pseudomonadati; Pseudomonadota; Gammaproteobacteria; Thiotrichales; Francisellaceae.